RNAcentral lists this ribosomal RNA (305 nucleotides) under uncultured bacterium. RNAcentral describes it as "bacterial SSU rRNA". It matches the Rfam family "Bacterial small subunit ribosomal RNA", at positions 335 to 637 of the family's 1533-position model. The record is from RNAcentral.
UGCCUACGGGGGGCAGCAGUGAGGAAUAUUGGUCAAUGGGCGAGAGCCUGAACCAGCCAAGUCGCGUGAAGGAUGACGGCCCUACGGGUUGUAAACUUCUUUUGUCAGGGAGCAAUUGGGUCCACGCGUGGGCUUAGCGAGAGUACCUGAAGAAAAAGCAUCGGCUAACUCCGUGCCAGCAGCCGCGGUAAUACGUAGGUGGCAAGCGUUAUCCGGAUUUAUUGGGCGUAAAGAGAACGCAGGCGGUCUUUUAAGUCUGAUGUGAAAGCCUUCGGCUUAACCGGAGUAGUGCAUUGGAAACUGGG